CCUACGGGAGGCAGCAGUAGGGAAUCUUCCACAAUGGGCGAAAGCCUGAUGGAGCAACGCCGCGUGAGCGAUGAAGGCCUUCGGGUCGUAAAGCUCUGUUGUUAGGGAAGAACAAGUAUCGGAGUAACUGCCGGUACCUUGACGGUACCUGACCAGAAAGCCACGGCUAACUACGUGCCAGCAGCCGCGGUAAUACGUAGGUGGCAAGCGUUGUCCGGAAUUAUUGGGCGUAAAGCGCGCGCAGGCGGUUCCUUAAGUCUGAUGUGAAAGCCCCCGGCUCAACCGGGGAGGGUCAUUGGAAACUGGGGAACUUGAGUGCAGAAGAGGAGAGCGGAAUUCCACGUGUAGCGGUGAAAUGCGUAGAGAUGUGGAGGAACACCAGUGGCGAAGGCGGCUUUCUGGUCUGUAACUGACGCUGAGGCGCGAAAGCGUGGGGAGCAAACAGGAUUAGAUACCCUGGUAGUCCACGCCGUAAACGAUGAGUGCUAAGUGUUAGGGGGUUUCCGCCCCUUAGUGCUGCAGCUAACGCAUUAAGCACUCCGCCUGGGGAGUACGGCCGCAAGGCUGAAACUCAAAGGAAUUGACGG
This 587-nucleotide ribosomal RNA is filed under the name uncultured bacterium. RNAcentral's name for it is "bacterial SSU rRNA". It matches the Rfam family "Bacterial small subunit ribosomal RNA", at positions 338 to 916 of the family's 1533-position model. The record is from RNAcentral.